CUGGCUGAAGACCAUCUGUGGAGGCCCCAUUACUGUCUGAAUGAGGGAACUGUAAGCAGAGCAAGAGCUCACUGACAACGCACUAGGACUUGUAGCAGUCACGGUGACUCUGUUCAUGGACUGGAGCAUUUUCUUUGUCCUGUUGACUGUUUGGACAAAUGUUUACAACCAAGAUGGUUGCUAAAUGUCUGAAUUCUGCUGAGGAGACUUUCUUCAUUUCCACAGAAGGAAGUGGUUUGGAUACAUUUUUCUCCCUCUCUUGA
RNAcentral lists this long non-coding RNA (263 nucleotides) under Bos indicus x Bos taurus (hybrid cattle). RNAcentral describes it as "lncRNA (ENSBIXG00005003060.1)". Lineage: Eukaryota; Metazoa; Chordata; Mammalia; Artiodactyla; Bovidae. The record is from RNAcentral.